ACGUAGUUAGCCGAGACUUAUUCCGGGAGUACAGUCCUUCCUCUUCCUCCCGAAAAGUGCUUUACAACCCGAAGGCCUUCAUCGCACACGCGGUGUUGCUGGUUCGCGCUUUCGCACAUUACCAAUAUUCCCU
RNAcentral lists this ribosomal RNA (133 nucleotides) under uncultured bacterium. Its description in RNAcentral is "partial 16S ribosomal RNA". The record is from RNAcentral.